This 577-nucleotide ribosomal RNA is filed under the name Cladosporium sp. M02. Its description in RNAcentral is "eukaryotic LSU rRNA". The stretch from base 212 to 365 matches the Rfam family "5.8S ribosomal RNA". Lineage: Eukaryota; Fungi; Ascomycota; Dothideomycetes; Cladosporiales; Cladosporiaceae. The record is from RNAcentral.
GGAAGUAAAAGUCGUAACAAGGUCUCCGUAGGUGAACCUGCGGAGGGAUCAUUACAAGUUGACCCCGGCCCUCGGGCCGGGAUGUUCACAACCCUUUGUUGUCCGACUCUGUUGCCUCCGGGGCGACCCUGCCUCCGGGCGGGGGCCCCGGGUGGACAUUUCAAACUCUUGCGUAACUUUGCAGUCUGAGUAAAUUUAAUUAAUAAAUUAAAGCUUUCAACAACGGAUCUCUUGGUUCUGGCAUCGAUGAAGAACGCAGCGAAAUGCGAUAAGUAAUGUGAAUUGCAGAAUUCAGUGAAUCAUCGAAUCUUUGAACGCACAUUGCGCCCCCUGGUAUUCCGGGGGGCAUGCCUGUCCGAGCGUCAUUUCACCACUCAAGCCUCGCUUGGUAUUGGGCGACGCGGUCCGCCGCGCGCCUCAAAUCGACCGGCUGGGUCUUUCGUCCCCUCAGCGUUGUGGAAACUAUUCGCUAAAGGGUGCCGCGGGAGGCCACGCCGUGAAACAACCCCAUUUCUAAGGUUGACCUCGGAUCAGGUAGGGAUACCCGCUGAACUUAAGCAUAUCAAUAAGCGGAGGA